RNAcentral lists this ribosomal RNA (271 nucleotides) under uncultured bacterium. RNAcentral describes it as "partial 16S ribosomal RNA". It matches the Rfam family "Bacterial small subunit ribosomal RNA", at positions 524 to 794 of the family's 1533-position model. The record is from RNAcentral.
UACGAAGGGUGCAAGCGUUAAUCGGAAUUACUGGGCGUAAAGCGCGCGUAGGUGGUUCGGCAAGUUGGAUGUGAAAGCCCCGGGCUCAACCUGGGAACCGCAUCCAAAACUACUGGGCUAGAGUACGGUAGAGGGUGGUGGAAUUUCCUGUGUAGCGGUGAAAUGCGUAGAUAUAGGAAGGAACACCAGUGGCGAAGGCGACCACCUGGACCGAUACUGACACUGAGGUGCGAAAGCGUGGGGAGCAAACAGGAUUAGAUACCCUAGUAGU